AGGCCUGAAGAGAGAAGCAGGGUCUGAUACGCAGCCCUCAUGGCAGCUGUUUAUCAGCCUUUGCCUCUCUUUCUCUCUG
Non-coding RNA from Myotis davidii, 79 nucleotides. The record is from Rfam. NCBI's taxonomy places the organism in Eukaryota, Metazoa, Chordata, Mammalia, Chiroptera, Vespertilionidae.